This is a long non-coding RNA of Lathyrus oleraceus (garden pea), 1480 nucleotides long. RefSeq lists it as uncharacterized. The transcript has 2 exons. The record is from RefSeq and is a predicted model, not a curated record. NCBI's taxonomy places the organism in Eukaryota, Viridiplantae, Streptophyta, Magnoliopsida, Fabales, Fabaceae.
CUAAACUAAUUAAACUAAUCCUAAAAAAAUCUAAAUGGCCUAAUUAACAAAAAUUAAAACUAAACAAAUAAACAACAAAAUGAACCAAAAACAAAUAGUAAUAAUGGGCUCCGAUGGGGUAAAGCCCUGAAACAUGGGUUCCCAAAGCUGAAACACGUUUGGGCUUAGAUGGCCAAAGCCCAAAGGGAAAUGUAGCAAGCCACAGGGGUGAAGAUCCCAGGUUAGGGGGUGAGUUAUUGAAAAUAGGGUGAAGUCCACAAAUGGCCUAAGCCCAAGCAUUAAGGCCCACCCGGAAACUGAUAUAUGCAAGUGGAUAAGGCCAAAUCAUGUGGACAAUGAGUCAGCAGUGAGUAGGUCGUGAAUCAGCAAUGCAUAAUAAUCCUUAAUUAAUAAAAUGCACAUGAAAAACGAACUCAAAGCAUGGACACAUCCUCUAUCCUCUCUCAUCAGCCUAGCCCUAUCUCCGCCUCGCUAGAGGCCUCUCCGACGGCGGAGCCACCAUGAGACCUCAAUCCAAAACCAUCUUUCUACCUUAUUUCGUACCCUGAAUCCAGAUAUAGCCAUGAAAAUUUCUAAAGAUUCUUGAAUCGAGCAAAUUGAAAGCAAACAGCCAAGAAACCUAAUCUAUCAAAGUCAAAUUAUAUGGUGUACAAGCAAGGAUUGUCAUGCAAACCAUGGGGAUAAUGAUGCCAAGAGGGUCUACUACACAAUGGUAACCGAUUUCACGUCAAACAGAGAAGAAAAGAUUUACCUCCAAAAUAGAGAAAUGUUUUGGUGAGCGUUGAUCGAAAAAGACUAAGUGCAAAGGGAAAUCACUUGAAGCGCAGGUUUGCACAUGAGUCUUGUUGUUGUUGUUUUGUAUUGGCUGCUACAAGUGGAUAUUGAUUGUUCAUGGCCUUAGGGACUUGUGGAAUUUUGGCCUGCACGAAAGAGACAAGAGCCAAGGCUUAUACAGGUUGUGUCAUGCUGAAAUUGGUUAGCUAUGUGAUGGGUUGCAAUAUUGUUGUGCAUUGCUGCUGCAACAAGGUAUGCAUUGUUGUUGGUAUGUAUGCAUAAAUGUUUUAGGAUGAUGCACUUACCCAUACUAUGUUUGUCAUGGAUGAUUGGUUGGUAUGCAUGAUUGAAUGCAGGACUGGUUUAUGGAUGACAAGGCUUGUGGCUUAUAGUAUGAUGGCAAGCAAAGUGACUAAGUUCAAAGACAAGGCCAAUGCAAAUUUACAAGAAAUGUGAUUUCUUUUUUUUAAAGCAACAUGAUGAUGGGAAGUCAAGGAAUAGUGCAAGACUAGGAAUAUAGAUAAUAUUAGGACUUUAGGAUGAAAAAAAUGUAAUGGUUGACUUUGGUCAACUGGUUGACCAAAAAGUCAACAGUUGACCAAAAGGCAACUUUUGUAAAAAUGCAUUUUUUUUGUAAUGAACAUUGUAUAUGCUAAUGAAUGAAGGAAAACAACUUUAUUUGAAUAAAAUGACCAUUAUGAUUGAA